RNAcentral lists this long non-coding RNA (1200 nucleotides) under Pan troglodytes (chimpanzee). RNAcentral describes it as "long non-coding RNA NONPTRT006816". Lineage: Eukaryota; Metazoa; Chordata; Mammalia; Primates; Hominidae. The record is from RNAcentral.
UAAAGGUGGAUGGACAGAGAGCGGGAGCACAGGAUUAGUGUCAGACUCUUAGAACUGCAAGAAACCUCAGAAACAUGUUUGGCGAAUAUGGCCCAAGCUGGCAUCUGGAUAGACACAAUGCCUCAGGAUGCUGGAAGGAAGAGCUAAAUUAAGUGGUGCUUCGAGCAAGAGGAGGUCCUGCAGAGAAACAAUGCAUACAAGUCAUCUUGGCACAGGGAGAUUGUACUUUAAUGGAAGUAAGAACGAAACCUUGUAUUUCUUCAACAUCUCAUGCAACAAUGUUCAACGUCUUAUGUGCACUUGCCGACGUGCCCUUUUCAUAGGCCUUUAGAAACGCGAGGAAAAAGGUUGCCUCUUUCAAAUCCACAAGAGUUAUUGGCACCACGGAGGAAACCUAUCUGCAAAGGCUGGGGCUGGGGCCUUUGUGGGCUGAGACAACCUUGGGCAGCACUAGAAAUGGGUGGGCUUGUCAGUGCCUGCUCUGGGUAGGGGCGGCUACAGGGCUCUGUGCACAGGACUUAGGGUUAGGAGGACGAGCCUGGCGUGUGUGAACAGCGCGGAAGGUGCUGGGGAGGGGGCGUACCACUCGGUCUGAGUCCAGGUGAGAUUCAGGGAUCGGAAGGAGCUUGUGAGAUACUGGCCUUUUCCUCUUCCUCCUCUCCAUCCCAGUCCUUCCCACUUUCUCUUCGUCCUGUCAUUUAAUGGGCCAAAUUAUGGAAAUGAAGGUAUUUUCUGUUAUCCACUGAAUCUGCGGAAUCGCCUUACAGGCACCCAUUAUAGAAGUGGGUGGAAAGAGGAUUAUCCAUUUCUUCCCCCCAAAGAGAAACGGGGGCGGAGAAAAGGGAGAAACGAAACGUGCUCGUUGCAAAUUGACUCAACUGAAUUCACUUUCUUGCCAGCAACCCCUCCCGCUUCCCAGACCCAAAAUAAGGUCCGAAAAAGCCGAAGUGUUCUCUUCGGCUGUAAAGAAUCCACUCGGGCCCACUCGGGUCCUGCCGGCCAGGGCUGCAGAAGGCGAGGCGGUCUCCCUGCAGGACUCGGGAGCCGAACAUUCGGAGAACAGACAUCUCCGCUCCAGAAAACAGGAGAAUUUGUGCAGGAGGGUGCAGACAGGACAAAGAGAGAGGAACCAAAGGAAGAGAGCACAAUAGAACAGCUGAUAGGCUCGACUUGGAAAGCGAAGGCAGCUCAGGACCAAAU